This 668-nucleotide ribosomal RNA is filed under the name uncultured bacterium. RNAcentral's name for it is "bacterial SSU rRNA". It matches the Rfam family "Bacterial small subunit ribosomal RNA", at positions 8 to 650 of the family's 1533-position model. The record is from RNAcentral.
AGAGUUUGAUCAUGGCUCAGGACGAACGCUGGCGGCGUGCCUAAUACAUGCAAGUCGAACGAGAAUUUCUUACACCGAGUGCUUGCACUCAUCGUAAGAAAUUCGAGUGGCGGACGGGUGAGUAACACGUGGGUAACCUGCCCAAAAGAAGGGGAUAACAUUUGGAAACAAAUGCUAAUACCGUAUAACCAUGAUGACCGCAUGGUCAUUAUGUAAAAGGUGGUUCUGCUAUCGCUUUUGGAUGGACCCGCGGCGUAUUAACUAGUUGGUAGGGUAACGGCCUACCAAGGUGAUGAUACGUAGCCGAGUUGAGAGACUGAUCGGCCACAAUGGGACUGAGACACGGCCCAUACUCCUACGGGAGGCAGCAGUAGGGAAUCUUCCACAAUGGGCGCAAGCCUGAUGGAGCAACGCCGCGUGAAUGAAGAAGGUCUUCGGAUCGUAAAAUUCUGUUGUUAGAGAAGAAUAUGAGUAAUAGUAACUGAUUAUUCACUGACGGUAUCUAACCAGCAAGUCACGGCUAACUACGUGCCAGCAGCCGCGGUAAUACGUAGGUGGCAAGCGUUGUCCGGAUUUUUGGGCGUAAAGGGAACGCAGGCGGUUUUUAAGUCUGAUGUGAAGCCUUCGGCUAACCGGAGAUGUGCAUUGGAACUGGAAACUUGAUUGCA